UACGGGGGGGGCAAGCGUUGUUCGGAAUUACUGGGCGUAAAGGGCUCGUAGGCGGCCAACUAAGUCAUACGUGAAAUCCCUCGGCUUAACCGGGGAACUGCGUCUGAUACUGGAUGGCUUGAGUUCGGGGGAGGGAUGCGGAAUUCCAGGUGUAGCGGUGAAAUGCGUAGAUAUCUGGAGGAACACCGGUGGCGAAGGCGGCGACCUGGGUAGAUACUGACGCUGAGGCGCGAAAGCGUGGGGAGCAAACAGG
This 253-nucleotide ribosomal RNA is filed under the name uncultured bacterium. RNAcentral describes it as "partial 16S ribosomal RNA". It matches the Rfam family "Bacterial small subunit ribosomal RNA", at positions 524 to 776 of the family's 1533-position model. The record is from RNAcentral.